Molecule: long non-coding RNA, 4196 nt
Filed under: Gossypium barbadense (sea-island cotton)
Lineage: Eukaryota; Viridiplantae; Streptophyta; Magnoliopsida; Malvales; Malvaceae
Description: long non-coding RNA (GBAR_LNC007536)
Source: RNAcentral
GGGUUCUCACUAACAUGGACCAAACUGGCACUGGCUCAGGGUGCCAUAAGGGUGUUGUUGUACCUGCAUCAUUGAACACAGCGAUGCUAGUGGCUGCAACAACGGCAUCCUGAUGUCUGGCGACAAUUGGUCAUCAGUGGUUGAGCAGUAAAAAAGUUACACUCCUACUAGGACUCUACCAGAGAAUUUGAUUUCAGAUUAAUUAUUCCAAAAAUAAUAUUAUUUUAAUAGUAUAAUAUUAAAUUUAAUUUAAUAUUAAAUUGAUUAUUUUAAUAUUAAAUUAAUAUAAUAUUUAUCAUUUAUAUUAAUUUAAUAUUAAAGUUGUUAAGUUUAAUCAUAAUUAAACUCUCUAAACUCUCCUAAUAUAAAGAGAGUAUUGGGUCAUUAUUUUAAACAUACACUUGAAUUGAAGAGAAAGUUAUAGAGAGAAAAUUCUCUAAAAAGAUUAUUCCAAAAAAUUUCUAGAAAUAUUUUUUGAUUUACAACUUAACCCAAAAAUUUAGAGAAAUUACAAAAUUACUCCACUGCUAAUUUUUGUAAAAAAAAUUAUUCAAAACGAGCCCACGCUUGACAGAAGUGAGUUUGAAGAUAAUGGAUAAAACUACUCAGUCAAAGCACUCAUUCUAGACGAGUUAAAAAUGUACAAUUUUGAUUAAGUGUUUAUUACUUUAGAUAUCACAACCAAGAUCUUAUUUUGGAAAAAAAAUUUAAAACUCAUAUGUUUUCCUAAAUUUAUUUUCACUGCGUUUUUCAAACUCAUUUUUCUAACAUUUUCGACCAAUUAGCCUCUGUACAAUAAUUUACAAGAUUAUUUCAAAGGCAGUGACAAAUCGUCUCCAAAAAGUUCUAAAUGCAUGUAUCGAUAAAGCCUAGAGUGUCUUCGUGCCUGGAAGGCUCAUUACGAACAAUAUUUUGCUAGCUUUUGAAUUAAUGCACUCCCUAAAACAAACAAAAAAAGGGCUAGAAUGGGAGCUUAGCUUUGAAGCUCUAUAUGAGCAAAGUGUAUGAUUAAAGGUGUGCAAAUUUCGAGUAAAAUCGAAUUAAUUCGGUUAACCAGCCGAAUUCGGCUAAUCAGUCGAUUAACCAAAUUAAUUCGGUCAGAGGUUGAUUAAUAAUUUUUUGAAAGUUCGGUUAACAGUUAAUUUGGUUCGAAAUCGGUCAGUUAAUCGAAUUAAUCAAAUUUAAUAAAUAAUAUUAUUAUAUAUAAAUAUUCAAUCGGUUCGAUUAAUUUUUUAGAAAUAUAAAUUAAUCGGUCGAUUAAUUUUUGAUAUGUCUUAUACUUGUUUUAACCAAAAAUAUAUAUAUAUAAAUUUCAGUUAAUUCGAUUAACCGACUAAAUUAAUCAAAAAAGUUCAAUUCAGUUAACUUUUUUGAAAAAAUUUUGAUUCGAUUAACGGUUAAUGAUUUAAAAGAGUCGAUUAAUUCAGUUAAUAGUAGUUCAGGUCGGUUAACCAGUCAGUUAACCGAUUGAACACCCCUACGUAUGAUAGGGUGGAGUGGAAGUUUCCGGAAAAAGUAGAUUCAUUUGUGUCUUUAAUCAUAUGGUGUGUUACAAUAGUUAAUUAUUCGAUAUGCAUGGAUAACGAGAUGGGAGAGCGCUUCAGGCCAAUGAGAGGGUUGCAUGAAGGUGGUCCUCUAAGCCCCUACCUAUUCUUAAUUUGCAGUGAAGGACUUUCAUCACUAGUGAGGCUAGAACUAUUAAAGGAGCAAAGGUUUGCCGGCAAGGACCAACUAUUACCCACUUAUUACUUGCAGGCGACUAUUUUAUUCGAGGCUACGAAAAGGGGAGCCAAUAUCCUUAAAACCAUAGUACAAGAAUAUGAAAUAUGUUCAGGUCAGUGCAUAAAACUUCGAUAGGUCUAUGGCAUUUUUCAGUUCAAAUGUCCUAGAAUAAAUGAGGGAACAAAUUGCGAAUAUAUUGGGCAUACGAACUUCAAGAAACCCAAAAAGAUAUUUGGGUCGACCAAAUAUGGUGGGAAGGGAUAAAAAGAGAACUUUCCAACUUUUGAAGGAUAGAAUGAUUAGUAAAGUCAAAGGGUGGAGUACAAGGUUUUUAUCAAUGGGAGGGAAGUGUUCAUUAAAGUCGUGUUACAGGCAAUUCCUACCUACUCUAUGGCAUGUUUUUUUUGCCAAAAUCUUUUUACGUUGAAUUAGAAAACGUUAUGGGACAGUUCUAGCCGCAAAAAUGACACGGUAAACGUGGAAUUCAUUGGUACGAGUGGAGGAAGCUUGGUAAUUUAAAAUAGGAAAGUGGAAUGGGUUUUAGAUGCCUUUCUAAAUUUAAUGUGGCACUUUUAGCAAAGCAAGGCUGGAGUUUGAUUUGUUAUCCGGAUUCGUUAUUAACAAAAUCAUUGAAAGCAAAGUACUACCCAUUUAGAUUUCUUGCAAGCAAGGUUGGGGAAGUUACCAUCCUUUACCUGGAAAAGCUUAUGGUCAGCGAAAGGUCUACUUGAGAAAGGGAUGGGUUGGAGAGUAGGGUCUGGAAAGCAGAUAUUGAUUUGGAAUGAAGCAUGGGUCCCGGGCACUGAAGAUUAUAAGAUUCAAUCAUCAUAUUUUAAUUAAAAUUUAGUUUAUGUUUCGGACUUAGUUGAACAACAUUGAAAGAGUCAAUAAGAAGUACCUUUCAUCCCAAAGACGCUGAAAGGAUUCUGUGCAUUCCCCUACCCGUUGAGAAAGAAGCUGAUAAAGAUGGUGUGGCGAGACGAAGCCUCGGGGGUUAACACAGUUCGAAGUAGUUACAAAACAUUAUUAUAGAAUGAUCGGGACACAAAUUUACAAUUCAAUCAAAGUCACUAUAAACUUAUGCACAAAAAGCUAUGGCAUGUGGAGUGACCCUCAAAAACAAAAAUCAUGGUAUGGAAAACCAUUAAUAAUUUUCUACUUACUCAAACUAAUCUAUUCCAUCACAAACUGGUAAGCUUAGCAAACUAUAUGAGAUGUCUAAGGAGUGAAGAGUCGACAAAGCAUGUGUUUAGAGACUGUCCAUUCGCAAAUGAUGUUUGGACCAGACUAGGAAUCGGGUGGUCCCUGAAGCAAAAUCAACUACAGUAUAAGGAUUGGAUUCAGAAUUUAUUUGAAAGAGAGUCUAACCAAAGAAUUAGAACAAUAGUGUGUGCAAUAUGGGCAUUGUGGACAGACAGGAAUAAACUUCUUCACGAAAGGAAGAUGCAAACAAGUGCUAAUCUGACUCAUUUCAUCAUCGACUAUUUGCGAGAGUUAGAUGGGGUUAAUAAGAGAUUACCUAUCAGCAAACUGGUGAAUGAAAGCUGGAGACCACCAGAGGAUAUCAAUGUUAAAAUCAACUUUGAUGCUGCAUUUGACAAGCAACAUAAAAGGUCAUGCACAGUAAUAGUGAUUAGAAACUCUAGUGGUCACGUUUUAAAAACAAAAGUUCAUAAUAACAGACACAUACCAUCGACGUUUGCUGCAGAAGCUCUCGUUUGUGUUCAAGCGGUCAGGUUUGGGGCGGAGUCGGGGUUUUUGAGAGUUGAGGUCGAAGGAGACAAGCUAUCAGUUAUUAAGAAGAUACUUUGCGAGGAUGAUGACAGAUCUGAAAUUAGGUCUUACAUUUUAGAUGCUAAAAGAUUAAAGAGUAACUUUAUUAAUUGUAGAUUUAAGCAUGAAGGAAGACGAAUGAACAGAGUAGCACAUAUUUUAGUGAAAGAAGGGCUAAGUGAUGAAGGGAAUGCUUAUCUGGUUAAUGGUCUCUCCAAAUAUGCAGCCUAGGCUGUGAAGGAGGAUAAACGAGAAGGAGGAAUGGAUAACUGUCAGGCCCGGAGUAGGAACAAGGAAGCAAUGAGAUUUUGUUCUGAAACAGUUCAGAACGAAAUUUUUUGAAACGAGUUUUUUGACAUUUUGAGAAUCGAAGAGAGUUUUUGGGUGAAGGCAUUCCUGUUCCAAGUUGCUAAACACUGGUGCAACUAAUUAACGAGUUAAUUCGCUCAUGGUAGGGAUGCCUGAAUCAGAGGUGGGUUUGGUUUGUUGACGGAUUUUUCUAGAGCUUGGAAAUGAAGAAAUGGUGAAGAGAAGAAAAUGGUUAGUCAAAAUGAUGACUAGCUGUGAGUAGAUGUUAGGGUCUUGGUAGGAUAUUUGUUUGUUCAGGGACUGGGUUUUUUUGACAUUUUAGGAUUGGGCUUGUUUUGCUUUUCUUUUAUGGUUGGUUUGAAUUUUUUUUUCUUUAGUUGAUAUUAAUGAAG